RNAcentral lists this unclassified non-coding RNA (630 nucleotides) under Hevea brasiliensis (rubber tree). The record is from RNAcentral. Lineage: Eukaryota; Viridiplantae; Streptophyta; Magnoliopsida; Malpighiales; Euphorbiaceae.
GAGAGAAAUCAACCCAAAUGGCUAGACAAGCCUCUAGAAUCGUUAAAUCUUUGUCCUCUACGAUUUGCUUUCACAAUCCCCAUAUAUCUCCGCUCGCUCCAUCUUCUUCUUCUGCAUAUUCUCUGUUGCAGUCUCGCUCUUUCGCCGCUGCUUCUUCGCCUCCGCCGGCUGUCUUUGUGGACAAGAACACCCGUGUCAUUUGCCAAGGCAUCACCGGCAAGAACGGCACUUUUCACACUGAACAAGCCAUUGAAUAUGGCACCAAAAUGGUUGGUGGAGUGACACCUAAGAAGGGUGGGACAGAACACUUGGGACUUCCUGUUUUCAACACAGUUGCAGAAGCGAAGGCUGAAACAAAGGCUAAUGCAUCAGUGAUCUAUGUUCCUCCACCUUUUGCUGCUGCAGCUAUUAUGGAAGCCAUGGAAGCAGAAUUGGAUCUGGUUGUGUGCAUCACAGAAGGAAUCCCUCAACAUGACAUGGUUCGCGUGAAGGCUGCACUAAACAAGCAAUCAAAAACUAAACUAAUUGGUCCAAACUGCCCUGGUAUUAUCAAACCUGGAGAAUGCAAGAUUGGAAUUAUGCCUGGAUACAUUCACAAACCGGGGCGUGUAGGAAUUGUCUCUCGAUCUG